UACAGAGGCGGCAAGCGUUGUUCGGAUUUACUGGGCGUAAAGGGUGCGUAGGCGGUUCCGUAUGUCGGAUGUGAAAGCUCACGGCUCAACCGUGGAAUGGCAUCCGAAACUGCGGGGCUGGAGUGCAGGAGGGGAGAGCGGAAUUCUCGGUGUAGCGGUGAAAUGCGUAGAUAUCGAGAGGAACACCGGUGGCGAAGGCGGCUCUCUGGACUGCAACUGACGCUGAGGCACGAAAGCUGGGGGAGCAAACAGGCUUAGAUACC
Molecule: ribosomal RNA, 263 nt
Filed under: uncultured bacterium
Lineage: Bacteria
Description: partial 16S ribosomal RNA
Rfam family: Bacterial small subunit ribosomal RNA
Source: RNAcentral